RNAcentral lists this unclassified non-coding RNA (410 nucleotides) under Hevea brasiliensis (rubber tree). The record is from RNAcentral. Lineage: Eukaryota; Viridiplantae; Streptophyta; Magnoliopsida; Malpighiales; Euphorbiaceae.
GAUUUACUCGCUUACAACAAUUUUUUAUUGUUGUAAGCUUUUAAAAAAUUUUGUGUAUUCAUUCCACUAAGUGUUAAGGAACUACUAACUUUCACUUAAAAUUUGCUUUCUAUCAUAUGAAAUUAUGGCUUAUGAACUUUGCCAGUUUAUAACUGAUGACGGAAGUUUCAGUCUUUACCUUGAAUUCAAAAGACGAGAAUUCUUUUGUUGUAUUACUAAGCUAUAUCCUUCUGCCUAUAUCAGCUUUUAACUUGGAACUCUAAACUUUAUACUGCUCUGCAAAUACAAGUAGUAUUUUGCUAUUGGGUUUAGAGGUUUAUCCUGUUUAGAUGUGAUACGUAGAUCUCUGCCUAUAUUAACUGAUUAAAUUAAUAGAACCUUCAUGUAUCUUACAAUUUUUUGUAACAGUU